AUGAAAGUGUUUUAGCAUAAACAGCAACAUGGUGAAUGUUUGUAAUUCAGAAUGCUUACAGCACACUAUCUUUUAUAAAAUGCUGCACUGAUUCAUGGAAUUCAGUAAGCUUUAACCAACCGUUUAACCAGGUUACAUUUCUUAUGGCAACAAUUUGGGCAGAUGUUAAUGUCUGUGUGUGUGUGUGCGUGUGUGUGCAUAUCUGUGUGAAAGUCAUUC
Pelobates cultripes (western spadefoot toad) is the source of this 219-nucleotide non-coding RNA. The record is from the annotation of a GenBank genome assembly. NCBI's taxonomy places the organism in Eukaryota, Metazoa, Chordata, Amphibia, Anura, Pelobatidae.